GCCAAAAAGCUAGCUUAACUCCCCGAACACCUAAAACAACAUUAAAACACUCCAAAAAACUACAACAUCCCAAAUUAAAACAUUCUACCACCUUAGUACGUGCGACAGAAAAGGUAAUAAUAAAGCAAUAAAUAAAGUACCGCAAGGGAACGCUGAAAGAGAAAUGAAAUAAAUCAUUAAAGCACAACAAAGCAGAGACUAAACCUCGUACCUUUUGCAUCAUGAUUUAGCCAGUCCUCCGAGCAAAGCGCACUUUAGUUCUAGACCCCGAAACUAAGUGAGCUACCCCGAGACAGCCUAUAAAUUAGGGCCAACCCGUCUCUGUGGCAAAAGAGUGGGAAGAUCUCCGGGUAGAGGUGACAAGCCUACCGAACUUAGUUAUAGCUGGUUGCCUAGGAAAUGAAUAGAAGUUCAGCCUCGUACCCCUCACCUCACAAAUACCUUUAAAAUAUAUGAGCCCGAGAAACCUACGAGAGUUAGUCAAAGGGGGUACAGCCCCUUUGAUACAGGACACAACCUCAUCAGGAGGUUAAAGAUUAUACUAAACAAGAUACACCGCUCCAGUGGGCCUAAAAGCAGCCACCUGUAACAGAAAGCGUUAAAGCUCUGGCGGAUCCUAAUCUAUUAUUUAAAUAUUACAUCUUAAACCCCUAAUUGUACUAGGCCAAUCCAUGCCCGCAUGGAAGAGAUACUGCUAAAAUGAGUAAUAAGAAGGAACCCCCUUCUCCUAGCCUACGUGUAUGCUAAAUUGGACCCCCCCACUAGCAAUUAACGAACCCAAUUAAAGAGGGCAUUGUGAACAUAUUAAAUAUCAAGAAAUCCUCACACACCCCCAUCGUUAACCCCACACCGGAAGGCACUAUAGGAAAGACUAAAAGAAAAGGAAGGAACUCGGCAAACAUAAGCCUCGCCUGUUUACCAAAAACAUCGCCUCCUGCAAAAAUCAACGUAUAGGAGGUCUUGCCUGCCCAGUGACAUGUUAAACGGCCGCGGUAUUUUGACCGUGCGAAGGUAGCGCAAUCACUUGUCUCUUAAAUGGAGACCUGUAUGAAUGGUGGAACGAGGGCUUAACUGUCUCCCCUUUCAAGUCAAUGAAAUUGAUCUGCCCGUGCAGAAGCGGACAUAUAUCUACAAGACGAGAAGACCCUUUGGAGCUUAAGAUUCAAGAUCAACUACGUCAAGAACCCAGUUAAACUAAGUAGCACCUGAUCCCAAUCUUCUGUUGGGGCGACCACGGGAGAAAAUAAAGCUCCCAUGCGGACUGGGGUAAACCCCUAAAACCAAGAGUGACAACUCUAAGUCACAGAAUCUCUGACCAAAAGAUCCGGCUACCUGCCGACCAACGAACCAAGUUACCCUAGGGAUAACAGCGCAAUCCCCUUUCAGAGUCCAUAUCGACAAGGGGGUUUACGACCUCGAUGUUGGAUCAGGACAUCCUAAUGGUGCAGCCGCUAUUAAGGGUUCGUUUGUUCAACGAUUAAAGUCCUACGUGAUCUGAGUUCAGACCGGAGUAAUCCAGGUCAGUUUCUAUCUGUAAUGCCACUUUUCCUAGUACGAAAGGACCGGAGAAGGGGGGCCUAUGUUGUCAGUACGCCCCACCCCAAUUUAAUGACAUCAACUAAAUUAAACAAAGGGAGGGCACAAUCCCAUAUCAAGAUAAGAUU
Molecule: ribosomal RNA, 1664 nt
Filed under: Ameiurus catus (white catfish)
Lineage: Eukaryota; Metazoa; Chordata; Actinopteri; Siluriformes; Ictaluridae
Description: 16S ribosomal RNA
Rfam family: Bacterial large subunit ribosomal RNA (bases 107-1552)
Source: RNAcentral